Molecule: long non-coding RNA, 1719 nt
Organism: Macadamia integrifolia
Lineage: Eukaryota; Viridiplantae; Streptophyta; Magnoliopsida; Proteales; Proteaceae
Exons: 2
Source: RefSeq, a predicted model, not a curated record
AAUAUGAACAAAACAUGUGCAUCCAAAUACUCGCACAUAUAGGUGUUGCUCCAGUAAGAGGUUCACGAGGUGCCUCUGAAGCUUCUUCCCCGUCAAAGCAUUAGCUUGGUUGCUUCAAGUUAGGGUUAUGACUAAUGGAGCUCAAAUUUUAACGAGAUCCAGCACCGGCGGUGGCAGCCGUAUCAACGAUCAUGGCGGCGUCGGCGGCGGUAGGAUCCCAUGUUUACUGUACCUUUCUCCCAGAUCGAGCACCGGCGGUGGCAGCUACAUCAACGAUCACGGCGGCGGCGGCAGGAUCCCAUGUUUACUGUACCUUUCUCUCAGAUCGAGCACCGGCGGUGGCAGCUACAUCAACGAUCACGGCGGCGGUAAUCUGAUCUUGAAAGAAACCAGGCUGGAUGCAGUGGUGGGCUUUAAAUCUGAUCACUCAAGAAAAUGGAUUUUUGGUUUCUUUCAAAGAGAAAAAUGGAUGAAACAGUUCGGUAGAGUUAGCAACUGAGGUCAAGGGAAGACCUUUAAAUCUGAUCGCUCUCCCCCACCCUUGUCGUUGGUUUUGCUUCCUUCCCCAUUUUCAUUUUCAAGAGUUGACCUUUAAAUCUGAUCACUCAGAAGUUGAAAUUGUGAAAACAAUAAUAAAUCUAAGAGGAGAAGAAGAAACAGAUCUGUUGCGGGAUAUUAGGGAUGAUCAACUCUGCUCAGAACUUGACAUUGUAACAGCAUAAAAGCUUAUCAUUUUACUGGAAUCGUGUUUGAUUCCCGAGUCAGAUCUGCAAUGCCUGUUAGUGGCAGUGACAUUAGCGGCGGUGAUCACUCGAUCCUUUUCCAUUUCUGAUCUGGAGGAAUUUUUUUCUGUGAAGAUUGAAAAUCCAUGACUAAGCAUUUGGGUUUUUUUAUUUAGAGAACCCAAGUCAGCCGAGAGAGAGAGAGAGAGAGCUGGAACCGCCAGUGACUGGAGAAGAAGCUGAACCGCCAGUGGUAUCUACUGUUGCAGUGAGAGGUAAGGUAAAAUACGAUUGUUUAUUUGUUUUAGUUAAAAGGGUAAAAAUGUCAUUUCAAAUUCUUUCUUAACGGUGACUGACAGUAAGGGGUCUGAGUCUAAUUUGGUGAAAGAGAGGGGGUGUUCCUAUAAUAAUGGCAUUCUCCAGGGGGUGGCGCUGUAAAUUACCCUAAUAAUUAUUGGCAUUUGCAUGUUUUUUACAUGAUUUGCUGACCUUGUAGGCUUCAAGUAGUGCAACUUGGCCAGUGCUCAACCUGAACCGGGCCAACUUAUCGAUUAGGCAAGCUAGUUAUAGUUGUUUGGCCUGAGCAGGUCCAGGUGACUCUUCCGAAAGGCCGUCUUCUUGGUGCACUGGCCGGAUCUCUGGUCAAUUUACCUCCAACACUAUAUCCUCCUUGGCGGGUAGAAUAUUGAAAGCUAGUGUGCUUGGGUCUGGAUCUGCUUGUUGUGCAUGGGUGAUUACAUUUAGGUGUCAAUAACUCUCAUGGACUAUAAACUUGAUACCAUGAUGCAUGAGCCCGUCUUGAGCCUCUCUUCCCUACUCCAGAGCUGAGCAGCUUAAAAAUAAGCUCCCUUAGCUAAAUGAGCUCUAUCAGAUCAUCAUCUUAACCAGAUGUGAAUCAACAGGGCCAAGGUUGCAGGUAAGAGACCUUCCUACCACUCUCCAACGCAUUCUCUCCUCCCUGAUCUUAUGGGCCCUCUAUAUACGAUUUUUUAGGCAC